Molecule: long non-coding RNA, 1991 nt
Filed under: Malus domestica (apple)
Lineage: Eukaryota; Viridiplantae; Streptophyta; Magnoliopsida; Rosales; Rosaceae
Description: long non-coding RNA (MDOM_LNC017954)
Source: RNAcentral
AAGGUUUCCUACUCGAAGUAGGAAAGUUAAAUCCAAAUGGCAUCAAGUUUCAGCAACAAAGAAGAUUUCCAAGUCCAAGAAGGAAAGGUUUCCAAGAUGAAGUAGGAGAAGAAUUCCAAGUCAAGGGAGGAUUGAGACAUGUUUUCCUAAUGCUAGAAGGACUCUUAAGUGUUGUAGGACACAAAUGAGAAGUUUCUAGAAGAAUUCCCCUCCUUGCCGUGAGUUUCUACAUUUCCUAUCAGUUUUGGGGCUUUCUAGAAGCCCUAUCCCUAAUCCCUACAUUGGUGCCGCACCCUAGCUUCUAGAUGCCCUAGUUCCUUGCCUUGCAAGGCAUUCUAGAAGGCCUAUCCAUAUCCUACAAACCUGCCGCACCUAGGACCCCUUUUCCCUUGCAAAAUCUGAUUGUUUAGACCUAUUUCCUUGUGGAUUUGGGUUAUCCAAGUCCAUAUCUGAUUACCCUAGGGUUUUAAGUGCCUAUAUAUACUCCUAUUAACCCCUAAAUCAGAUCACCACUCACCACAAUUCACAAUUCACGCCAGAAAUCAUUCCUUGCUCUUUGCCGCACCCUUCCACCACCAUAUGCCAUAAUUUCUGCCCAAAAACAACCCUAGCCGCACCACCCAUCAACCCUAAACACCAUCACACAUCCUCCAUCCAUUUUACACCAUCCAUAACCCCAAAGAACCUGUCCAAAGUCCUUGCCACACCAAGGAGGGGGAGAAGGAAGCUCGGAAGAUUCAUGCAAUUCAAGUUCGUGUCGCUGGAAUUUCUAGGUGUUUCUUUUCCUUUGAUUUCAAUGUUUAAAUUCAAUUCUCUUUGUUUUGUGCGUAUGAGGAACUAAACCCCCCCUUGGCUAGGGGGGAUUCGAAAUACAUGUUUAUGCUUGCGAUAUGAUUUGAUUACUUCUAAUUGCGUUUCAUAAGUUGUGAAUUCAAUUUACUUAUCUAUGUGAAUUACAUUGAUUUAUGUGUGUUGGUUGAGAGUGCACGCUUAAUUAUCAUGCAUAAAUUGAAUGCUAGGAUAUAAGGAAAUUUUCACCUAAUCGUUAUGGACUUAUAUUCACAAGUAGUAAAGGUUGAUGAUCUCAAUCGCGUUAAGUAAAUUCUUGGCAUAAGUUUCAUGCAAUCAUAGUAACAAGUGCUUCGUCAAUGCUUAUGGUUUUCAUAGAACUUAAUGAUUCUUGCUUGUAUCUCUAUUAUGCAAUCAUGUAGGGGACUUGUGGGGAAUGUUUGGGUUGUCGUAUGCAAUCAUCCAAUUCAAUAACGUUAGGAAAAUCUGAGGGUUAAUUUAAGCGGACCUAAUUAACUUGGGGCAUUGAGAAUUCAUGGUUUAUUGAAAAGCAAUUGGAAAUCGUUUUGUAUGCAAGUAUAACAUGUGUGGAGAUGAACCCCUUAGCUAGCCUUCCAUUCACCCAUUUAAAUCAAAUUCGUUUUUACAAUCUGUUCUAAUUUACAAGUUUGUUUUGUUUUUAAAUUCGUCCAAAACCAAUCCCCCUUUGUUUUAAAGUGUCAAAAUUAGUUAGUAAGUGUUUAGUUUGUGUUUUUAAGUGUCUUAGGUCAAGUUAAAACCAAUUUUCGUCCAAGUUUGUGUCUAGUGUUCAAAACUGCCCAGAUUGUGUUUUUAAGGCAGUUUUGAGUCUUUUGGUUUGUUUUGGUGUUUUAAAGUUUAGUUUUGCAUUCUUUGAGUCUAGUUUAGUAUUUUAAACUUGUUUUUACGUAUUUGAGUCAAUUCCAAGUGAUUUUGCAAUCCCUCCUAAUCUCCGAUCUAGAACGAUCCCUACUUACAUACAUUGCUACAACUGAUAAAAAGAGGGUUUAAUUUGAGUGCUAGUUAAUUCUCACAUCAAAUUUUGGCGCCGUUGCCGGGGAUUAGCAACUUUGCUAAUCCCUUGGAUUGUUAUUUUCGUUUUUCUUAUUAGAUCAGAUUCUUAUGUUAUUUUGUUUCUUGUUCUAGGUACUUGUUUAUGACUCGGAGUUCUAAUCCGGUUCACG